UACGUAGGGUGCGAGCGUUGUCCGGAAUUACUGGGCGUAAAGAGCUCGUAGGUGGUUUGUCGCGUUGUUCGUGAAAACCGGGGGGCUUAACCUCUGGCGUGCGGGCGAUACGGGCAGACUGGAGUACUGCAGGGGAGACUGGAAUUCCUGGUGUAGCGGUGGAAUGCGCAGAUAUCAGGAGGAACACCGGUGGCGAAGGCGGGUCUCUGGGCAGUAACUGACGCUGAGGAGCGAAAGCGUGGGGGAGCGAACAGG
RNAcentral lists this ribosomal RNA (255 nucleotides) under uncultured bacterium. RNAcentral's name for it is "partial 16S ribosomal RNA". It matches the Rfam family "Bacterial small subunit ribosomal RNA", at positions 524 to 776 of the family's 1533-position model. The record is from RNAcentral.